Molecule: ribosomal RNA, 632 nt
Filed under: uncultured bacterium
Lineage: Bacteria
Description: bacterial SSU rRNA
Rfam family: Bacterial small subunit ribosomal RNA
Source: RNAcentral
GGGAGUACGGUCCGCAAGAUUNAAACUCAAAGGAAUUGACGGGGGCCCGCACAAGCGGUGGAGCAUGUGGUNUAAUUCGACGCAACGCGCAGAACCUUACCAGCCCCUUGACAUCCCCGGUCGCGGAUUCCAGAGAUGGAGUCCUUCAGUUCGGCUGGACCGGAGACAGGUGCUGCAUGGCUGUCGUCAGCUCGUGUCGUGAGAUGUUGGGUUAAGUCCCGCAACGGGCGCAACCCCCGUCCUUAGUUGCUACCAUUUAGUUGAGCACUCUAAGGAGACUGCCCGGUGAUAAGCCGCGAGGAAGGUGGGGAUGACGUCAAGUCCUCAUGGCCCUUACGGGCUGGGCUACACACGUGCUACAAUGGCGGUGACAAUGGGACGCUAAGGGGCAACCCUUCGCAAAUCUCAAAAAGCCGUCUCAGUUCGGAUUGGGCUCUGCAACUCGAGCCCAUGAAGUUGGAAUCGCUAGUAAUCGUGGAUCAGCACGCCACGGUGAAUACGUUCCCGGGCCUUGUACACACCGCCCGUCACACCAUGGGAGUUGGUUUUACCUGAAGACGGUGCGCUAACCGCAAGGAGGCAGCCGGCCACGGUAGGGUCAGCGACUGGGGUGAAGUCGUAANCAAGGUACC